GGGGUGCGUGGCGCUCCCCGGCUUCGGGCUGCAGGCUGCUAUCUGCAAGCCUUGGGAGCCCAGCGGGAACUCCCGCGGGCUCCGAAGGCUUGCGGAUAGCUUCCUGAAGCCUGGAGAACAAGAGGGGUCAGUGCGCACC
This is a non-coding RNA of Podarcis lilfordi (Lilford's wall lizard), 139 nucleotides long. The record is from the annotation of a GenBank genome assembly. NCBI's taxonomy places the organism in Eukaryota, Metazoa, Chordata, Lepidosauria, Squamata, Lacertidae.